CAAUCGUUGAGACGACCAAAAUACUGACAACAACGAUCGAGACGACGUCAGAACCUGAAACAAGCCACCCAGACACUUCGAUUUCACCACUGCCUACGACGACGUCUGCUACUUUGAGGACGGACAAGUCAAGUACACAAUGGCAGAAAGAAACGACUUUAAACCAAGUCACAACUCAGAAGACAGACAAUCAUCCGUCUACAACUGACGCCAUUGGUUUUGGGAACGCCGAUCAAAUAGACCUGAACACUCUGACUUCUACACCAACGGUGAGGACUGAACCCGAGACAACGGCUCCUGACGCGUCUAAAGUCCCCGGACUUUGGCCAGGGCUGUUGGACCUGGUUAAUGGACAAGCAGAGCCGGGUGACAUACAACAGUAUUUGAACGACGACG
Molecule: long non-coding RNA, 396 nt
Organism: Branchiostoma floridae (Florida lancelet)
Lineage: Eukaryota; Metazoa; Chordata; Leptocardii; Amphioxiformes; Branchiostomatidae
Exons: 3
Source: RefSeq, a predicted model, not a curated record